RNAcentral lists this ribosomal RNA (505 nucleotides) under uncultured bacterium. RNAcentral describes it as "partial 16S ribosomal RNA". It matches the Rfam family "Bacterial small subunit ribosomal RNA", at positions 28 to 507 of the family's 1533-position model. The record is from RNAcentral.
GACGAACGCUGGCGGCGUGCCUAAUACAUGCAAGUAGAACGCACAGUUUAUACCGUAGCUUGCUACACCAUAGACUGUGAGUUGCGAACGGGUGAGUAACGCGUAGGUAACCUGCCUGGUAGCGGGGGAUAACUAUUGGAAACGAUAGCUAAUACCGCAUAAUAUUAAUUAUUGCAUGAUAAUUAAUUGAAAGGUGCAAUUGCACCACUACCAGAUGGACCUGCGUUGUAUUAGCUAGUAGGUGAGGUAACGGCUCACCUAGGCGACGAUACAUAGCCGACCUGAGAGGGUGAUCGGCCACACUGGGACUGAGACACGGCCCAGACUCCUACGGGAGGCAGCAGUAGGGAAUCUUCGGCAAUAGACGAAAGUCUGACCGAGCAACGCCGCGUGAGUGAAGAAGGUUUUCGGAUCGUAAAGCUCUGUUGUAAGAGAAGAACGGGUGUGAGAGUGGAAAGUUCACACUGUGACGGUAUCUUACCAGAAAGGGACGGCUAAUUACGUG